ACGCUUGAAGUCAGUCGUGCCCUUUGGGAUUCAGCCUUGCUUCUGCUUGGUUUACUUCCCUUUGGGUGGGUCAACAUCAGUUUUGGUCGGAGGAGAAAGGCUUGGGGAAGGUAGCAACACUUGUGUUGUGUUAUAGCCCCUUGUUGUAUACUUCGACUGGGAUUGAGGACUGCAGCACGCCUCUGGCCGGGGUUCGCCCACGUACGUGCUUAGGAUGUUGGCAUAAUGGCUUUAAGCGACCCGUCUUGAAACACGGACCAAGGAGUC
This 267-nucleotide ribosomal RNA is filed under the name uncultured Sebacina. RNAcentral describes it as "partial large subunit ribosomal RNA". The record is from RNAcentral. Lineage: Eukaryota; Fungi; Basidiomycota; Agaricomycetes; Sebacinales; Sebacinaceae.